GCUCCAGUGGUGCUAUGGGUUAGCACAUGGUACUUAUAAUGCCAAGGUUGUGAGUUCAAGCCUCACCUGGAACA
Molecule: transfer RNA, 74 nt
Filed under: Alligator mississippiensis (American alligator)
Lineage: Eukaryota; Metazoa; Chordata; Crocodylia; Alligatoridae
Description: tRNA-Ile (TAT) (tRNA-Ile-TAT-18-1)
Rfam family: tRNA
About the family: Transfer RNA (tRNA) molecules are approximately 80 nucleotides in length.
Source: RNAcentral